RNAcentral lists this ribosomal RNA (423 nucleotides) under uncultured bacterium. RNAcentral describes it as "bacterial SSU rRNA". It matches the Rfam family "Bacterial small subunit ribosomal RNA", at positions 64 to 507 of the family's 1533-position model. The record is from RNAcentral.
GAACGGCAGCACGGGAGCAAUCCUGGUGGCGAGUGGCGAACGGGUGAGUAAUACAUCGGAACGUGUCCUGGAGUGGGGGAUAGCCCGGCGAAAGCCGGAUUAAUACCGCAUACGCUCUGAGGAGGAAAGGGGGGGAUCUUCGGACCUCUCGCUCAAGGGGCGGCCGAUGGCAGAUUAGCUAGUUGGUGGGGUAAUGGCCUACCAAGGCGACGAUCCGUAGCUGGUCUGAGAGGAUGACCAGCCACACUGGGACUGAGACACGGCCCAGACUCCUACGGGAGGCAGCAGUGGGGAAUAUUGGACAAUGGGCGCAAGCCUGAUCCAGCCAUGCCGCGUGGGUGAAGAAGGCCCUAGGGUUGUAAAUCCCUUUCAGCGGGGAAGAUAAUGACGGUACCCGCAGAAGAAGCCCCGGCUAACUCCGUG